RNAcentral lists this ribosomal RNA (306 nucleotides) under Amoebophrya sp. RNAcentral describes it as "SSU rRNA". It matches the Rfam family "Eukaryotic small subunit ribosomal RNA", at positions 595 to 906 of the family's 1831-position model. Lineage: Eukaryota; Dinophyceae; Syndiniales; Amoebophryaceae. The record is from RNAcentral.
UAGCGUAUAUUAAAGUUGUUGCGGUAAAAAAGCUCGUAGUUGGACGUCUGUCGGGGGCGAUCGGUCCGUACAUUGUAUGCCGAUCUGGUUCGGCCUCGGCAUCCUCUCGUGCUACCUUUCUGCGCUUCGUUGCGUGGUAGGCGGUUCGGGACUUUUACUUUGAGGAAAUUGGAGUGUUCACGGCAGGCAUGUGCUUGAACAUAUUAGCAUGGAAUAAUAUUAUAGGAAUUCGAUUCUAUUUUGUUGGUUCCUAGAGUCGAAUUAAUGAUUAAUAGGGACAAUUGGGGGCAUUCGUAUCAACACGUC